RNAcentral lists this transfer RNA (76 nucleotides) under Gasterosteus aculeatus (three-spined stickleback). It matches the Rfam family "tRNA". From Rfam's summary of the family: Transfer RNA (tRNA) molecules are approximately 80 nucleotides in length. Their secondary structure includes four short double-helical elements and three loops (D, anti-codon, and T loops). The record is from Rfam by way of RNAcentral. Lineage: Eukaryota; Metazoa; Chordata; Actinopteri; Perciformes; Gasterosteidae.
UCCAGGAUGUCUGAGUGGUUAAGGCGUUGGACCCAAUGGGCAUCAGGCCUUGUGGGUUCGAAUCCCACUCCUGGUA